AAUAUUCACAUAAAAUAAAAGAUUAAGUAUCUAUGUAUAGUCAGCAAUGAUAGAUGUUGAACCGAUUCUUUCUUUCGAUUAAUUUUUUGUUUCAGCUUCCCAGCUAUCCAAGUUCUUGCAGAAUAUUAAUAGUUGGAGGCCACUUUCCUAUAAAUUAAGAUUACCAAAGUCUGAGGUUACUGUGUCCUUGAAUGUGUCCCAGUAAGCAAAAGUUAAAUCACAUUCUAACGUCAAAUAUCAGAGUAAGAUGUGUUACUAGCAGUGUGAUGACAAAUUAAUGCAUCAAACUAAGAAUAGGAAACAGGGUGUUUUGCCUAUGUUUGCCUCUGCAAAUAAAGUUAUUGUGAUUUACGGUCAAGAAUGAUGAACUUUUUCCCAAAAAUUGAGGAUCGGUCCUUAAAGAAGACAACUACAGUAAAAUGAAAAAUAAAAAUCAUAUAAAUGGAAGAUGCAAGAAUCACAAGAAGUCAAGGAUCACAAAGACAAUAGAAAGUAAGAACAUGGAGGAAUUAAAAUCGGAUCUUGCCCAAAAUGUUGGAUUCUUCAUCAU
Molecule: long non-coding RNA, 550 nt
Organism: Harpegnathos saltator (Jerdon's jumping ant)
Lineage: Eukaryota; Metazoa; Arthropoda; Insecta; Hymenoptera; Formicidae
Exons: 3
Source: RefSeq, a predicted model, not a curated record